This 500-nucleotide ribosomal RNA is filed under the name uncultured bacterium. RNAcentral's name for it is "bacterial SSU rRNA". It matches the Rfam family "Bacterial small subunit ribosomal RNA", at positions 28 to 517 of the family's 1533-position model. The record is from RNAcentral.
GAUGAACGCUAGCGACAGGCUUAACACAUGCAAGUCGAGGGGCAGCGGGGUUGUAGCUUGCUAUAACUGCCGGCGACCGGCGCACGGGUGAGUAACACGUAUGCAACCUGCCCGUUGCAGGGGGAUAAGCGGAAGAAAUUCCGUCUAAUACCGCGUAAUAUACUUUAGGGGCAUCCUUUUAGUAUUAAAGAUUUAUCGGCAACGGAUGGGCAUGCGGCGCAUUAGCUAGUUGGUGAGGUAACGGCUCACCAAGGCAACGAUGCGUAGGGGUUCUGAGAGGAAGGUCCCCCACACUGGUACUGAGACACGGACCAGACUCCUACGGGAGGCAGCAGUGAGGAAUAUUGGUCAAUGGAGGCAACUCUGAACCAGCCAAGUAGCGUGCAGGAUGACGGCCCUAUGGGUUGUAAACUGCUUUUAUGCGGGGAUAAAUGAUCCUACGUGUAGGAUUUUGCAGGUACCGCAUGAAUAAGGACCGGCUAAUUCCGUGCCAGCAGCCG